Molecule: non-coding RNA, 120 nt
Organism: Annulohypoxylon maeteangense
Lineage: Eukaryota; Fungi; Ascomycota; Sordariomycetes; Xylariales; Hypoxylaceae
Source: the annotation of a RefSeq genome assembly
GGUUUCCUGGUGUAAUGGCUAGCACUGCGGAUUCUGAUUCCUUCCUGUCGCGCUCGUUAACUUAACGCACGGGUUAGGAGGUGACUUCCGCCAAUCUGGGUUCGAUUCCCAGGGAGACCU